RNAcentral lists this long non-coding RNA (223 nucleotides) under Physcomitrium patens. Its description in RNAcentral is "long non-coding RNA (PPAT_LNC001003)". Lineage: Eukaryota; Viridiplantae; Streptophyta; Bryopsida; Funariales; Funariaceae. The record is from RNAcentral.
ACUUCAAGAUUAAAUUUCAUACUAAUUAGGACUUGUACAAGAAAAAUCAAAAUUACCAGAUUAUGAAAGUAAUAAGAUAAUUGGAAUUUACGUAUAGUUGAGGUUUUUAAGAAGAAUAUUUUUGAACUUUUUGUAUUGGCUUUAAGCACUUUUGAAUUAAAAUUCGAAUUUUAUUCUUCUUAUAUGGAUAGAAUGUAUUAAGAUUUCUUCAAUAUUUAUAAAA